This is a long non-coding RNA of Dermochelys coriacea (leatherback sea turtle), 1079 nucleotides long. RefSeq lists it as uncharacterized. NCBI's taxonomy places the organism in Eukaryota, Metazoa, Chordata, Testudines, Dermochelyidae. The transcript is spliced from 3 exons. The record is from RefSeq and is a predicted model, not a curated record.
CUGUGGGAACAGGCAGGGCUUCUAUAAAGCCAGGGUGCUGAUAGCAGGAAGGAGGCUGCAGGGAGGUAGUCUAGUCACUCCCUAGGAGAAGUGUUUGGAGGCUAAAGAGACAAGUAGCCCCUAAUUGCUUCUUGGGAGGAGGGAGUAGAAAGGCCUGCAAACCCCAAGCAGAGGGGAGUGCCAGGAUAGGAAGCAGCCUAGGGAGUGAGCAGCAAGGUUGGGGACUGAACAGACCUUGGCUGCAUGUUGUUGGGUCCCUGGGCUGAAACCCAGCAGAGAGGGUGGGUCCAGGGUCCCCUGCUUGCCACUGUGGAAAUGGCACUGUUGGGACAAUGAGCUGGAAGACUGCCUGGGUCUCUGUGGGAGUAAUAGACUUCAAAGGACCAUACACCAGAAAGCGGGGGAAGGAGUGGGAACACUGAAUGACCUGGCUGCAGGACCAAGCAUAAGAGGCCACAGCAGCUCCUGGAGUGAGAGAGGGGCUGCAAACAGUGACAGAGAAGAAGGAAUGGUGUUGUGCAACAGCAGGAAGGGGAAUCAACCUGGUGAUGGCGGUUUCCCUAUGAUAUCAUGUUUGAUGAUAUGCAUUCUAAAUUACUAUACCCCUGCAGAGUUGAGGUAUUAACAAGGAUCCUUCUCAGUCAGCUAAGGUCACCAGUGCUGUCUGUACUGCCCUGGGGGAGCCCAAAUUACAAUUAGGAGCAGUAUCUGCUAUUUGUUCCCCAGCCAUACCUGAGAUGUGCAGGAACUUCAUCUUCACAAAUAGCUCAAGGAAAAGGCCAUGAGAUCCCAACCAGACCCAGACCAGGGAUCCCCUGUACAUCAGCCUCAUUCAGCAAGUCGUGACCCUCCUGCUGCGAAAUCUGACUCUGGUGUGGGAGAAUCUUACCCCCCCCUCCACCCCAGACCCCACAGUGGGGUCUUGUCAGGAAUCCAGGAAGCAAUCUUAUAUGCAUGAGACUAAGUCUUCCUCUAAAUCCACUUUGAAGAAGUUAGAUUUGGCUCUAAACAAGCCCAUCAACUCAGGAUGUCCUAAGUCCUCAUGGGCCAAAUUAGAGAUGCACAACAAGAAGCCCAUA